This 226-nucleotide ribosomal RNA is filed under the name uncultured bacterium. RNAcentral describes it as "partial 16S ribosomal RNA". It matches the Rfam family "Bacterial small subunit ribosomal RNA", at positions 524 to 747 of the family's 1533-position model. The record is from RNAcentral.
UACGAAGGGGGCUAGCGUUGCUCGGAAUUACUGGGCGUAAAGCGCACGUAGGCGGUCUUUUAAGUCGGGGGUGAAAUCCUGGAGCUCAACUCCAGAACUGCCUUCGAUACUGGAAGACUUGAGUCCGGGAGAGGUGAGUGGGAACUGCGAGUGUAGAGGUGAAAUUCGUAGAUAUUCGCAAGAACACCAGUGGCGAAGGCGGCUCACUGGCCCGGGUACUGACGCU